RNAcentral lists this ribosomal RNA (253 nucleotides) under uncultured bacterium. RNAcentral's name for it is "partial 16S ribosomal RNA". It matches the Rfam family "Bacterial small subunit ribosomal RNA", at positions 524 to 776 of the family's 1533-position model. The record is from RNAcentral.
UACGUAGGGGGCAAGCGUUGUCCGGAUUUAUUGGGCGUAAAGCGCGUGUAGGCGGCUAGACAGGUCCGCUGUGAAAACUCGAGGCUCAACCUCGAGAUGUCGGCGGAAACCGUCUGGCUAGAGUCCGGAAGAGGAGAGUGGAAUUCCUGGUGUAGCGGUGAAAUGCGCAGAUAUCAGGAAGAACACCUAUGGCGAAGGCAGCUCUCUGGGACGGUACUGACGCUGAGACGCGAAAGCGUGGGGAGCGAACAGG